GCCAAACAGCUAGCUCACAAAACCAAGGAACUCAAAAUAACAAAAUAUAUACCACAACAUAAACCCAAUAACAUAAACUAAACCAUUCACCCUCCCCAGUAUGGGCGACAAAAAAGGAUAAAGUAAGCCAUAGACAAAGUACCGCAAGGGAACGCUGAAAAAGAACUGAAAAAACUCACUCAAGCACAGCAAAGCAGAGAUAAAAACUCGUACCUUUUGCAUCAUGAUCUAGCCAGUACACCCAAGCAAAGAGAACUCUAGUUUGUAGCCCCGAAACCUACGACGAGCUACCUCAAGGCCGCCUAAAACAGGGCAAACCCGUCUCUGUGGCAAAAGAGUGGGAAGACCUUCAGGUAGAGGUGAAAAGCCUACCGAGUCAGGUCAUAGCUGGUUGCUUAGAAAAUGAAUAGAAGUUCAGCCUCAUGCCGCCCCUAACCAAUCCUACCCCAUUAAAACAGGAACUAGGGCCACUCCUGAGAGUUAGUUGAAGGAGGUACAGCUCCCUCAACAAAGGACACAACCUUUAUAAGAGGUUAAGGAAUAUACUCAACCAAAAGGCUUAAAAGUCCUAGUAGGCCUAAAAGCAGCCACCUAAACAGAAAGCGUUAAAGCUUAAACCAAAAAAAGCCUAAUAUCAUAUUAAACCCUCCAACACCCUUACCAAUCAUACUAAGCCAUUUUAUGCCACCAUAAAAGAGACCAUGCUAGAACAAGUAAUAAGAAGAAUGAACUUCUCCCAGCACAUGUGUAAGUCGAAUCGGACAAACCACCGACAAUUAACGAACCCAAGAACAGAGGAAACUACGAGACCAACUAGAAAACCAAGAAAAACACGUCACACCGUAAAUCGUUACCCCUACACAGGAGUGCAAAACCUCAAAGGAAAGACUAAAAGGAUAAAAAGGAACUCGGCAAACCAAAACCCCGCCUGUUUACCAAAAACAUCGCCUCCUGCCCAUAACAACAUAGGAGGUCCCGCCUGCCCCGUGACUCACGUUUAACGGCCGCGGUAUUCUAACCGUGCAAAGGUAGCGCAAUCAAUUGUCUUUUAAAUGAAGACCUGUAUGAAUGGCAUAACGAGGGUUUAACUGUCUCUUUACCCCAGUCAAUGAAACUGACCUGCCCGUGCAGAGGCGGGCAUAAGAAUACAAGACGAGAAGACCCUGUGGAGCUUCAGACACUAACCAACCACAACAACAACGGCCAACAAUAAGCCGAAAAAAAUAUGGGGAUGGCACAAAUGUCUUCGGUUGGGGCGACCACGGCGAGAAAACAAAGCUCCCGAGCGGACUGGGCACACCCCUAAAACUUAGAACCACACCCCUAAGUCUCAAAACAUUUGACCAAUAAUGACCCGACUACCCGUCGAUCAACGAACAAAGUUACCCCAGGGAUAACAGCGCAAUCCCCUCACAGAGCCCAUAUCGACGAGGAGGUUUACGACCUCGAUGUUGGAUCAGGACAUCCCAAUGGUGCAGCCGCUAUUAAAGGUUCGUUUGUUCAACGAUUAAAGUCCUACGUGAUCUGAGUUCAGACCGGAGAAAUCCAGGUCGGUUUCUAUCUGUAACGCUACCCCUCCUAGUACGAAAGGACCGGAGAGAUGGGGCCUAUACUGAAAGCACGCCUCACCAAAACCUGAUGAAAACAUAUAAAACAGACAAAAGGGGCAACCCCCCACCCAAAAUAAGGGUCGC
This 1694-nucleotide ribosomal RNA is filed under the name Ilisha sirishai (lobejaw ilisha). Its description in RNAcentral is "16S rRNA". The stretch from base 99 to 1615 matches the Rfam family "Bacterial large subunit ribosomal RNA". Lineage: Eukaryota; Metazoa; Chordata; Actinopteri; Clupeiformes; Pristigasteridae. The record is from RNAcentral.